AUCGAUGAAGAACGCAGCGAAAUGCGAUACGUAAUGUGAAUUGCAGAAUUCCGUGAAUCAUCGAAUCUUUGAACGCACCUUGCGCCCCUUGGUAUUCUGAGGGGCAUGCCUGUUUGAGUGUCAUUGUAAUCUCUCAACUUUGGUCUUUGGUUUCUUAACCCAAGGCCCAGAGUUUGGAUGGUGGAGGUGUGCUGGCCGCCCCCCGUGGAGGGUCAGCUCCUCUGAAAAGAAUCAGCAAAGGGAAACGUACCUGUUCCUGCAUCUCGUGCUUCUGGCAUUGAUAAUUGUCUAUGCCUGUUGUGGCUCAGAUGCCUUUUGGAUCGGGCGAGCGUCUUUGCUUACAGUUGUCCUUUGGACAUUUUUGACAAAUCACCUCAAAUCAGGUAGGACUACCCGCUGAACUUAAGCAUAUCAAUAAGCGGAGGAAAAGAAACUAACAAGGAUUCCCCUAGUAACUGCGAGUGAAGCGGGAAGAGCUCAAAUUUAAAAUCUGGCAGUUUUGCUGUCCGAGUUGUAAUCUAGAGAAGCGUUUUCCGUGCUGGACCGUGUACAAGUCUCUUGGAAUGGAGCGUCGUAGAGGGUGACAAUCCCGUCUUUGACACGGACUGCCGGUGCUUUUGUGAUGCGCUCUCAAAGAGUCGAGUUGUUUGGGAAUGCAGCUCAAAAUGGGUGGUAAACUCCAUCUAAAGCUAAAUACAGGCGAGAGACCGAUAGCGAACAAGUACCGUGAGGGAAAGAUGAAAAGAACUUUGAAAAGAGAGUUAAACAGUACGUGAAAUUGUUGAAAGGGAAACGAUUCAAGUCAGCCGCGUUGGUCGGAAAUCAACCUUGCACUCUUGUGAGAGGCUUACUUUCCGGUUGACGGGUCAGCAUCAAUUUUUGACCGUCGGAUAAAGUCCUGGGGAAUGUGGCAUCUUUGGAUGUGUUAUAGCCCCUUGUCGCAUGCGACGGUUGGGAUUGAGGAACGCAGCGCGCCGUAAAGGUCGGGGCCUUUGGGCUCACGUACACGUGCUUUGGAUGCUGGCAUAAUGGCUUGAACCGACCCGUCUUGAAACACGG
This 1059-nucleotide ribosomal RNA is filed under the name uncultured fungus. RNAcentral's name for it is "eukaryotic LSU rRNA". The stretch from base 370 to 1059 matches the Rfam family "Eukaryotic large subunit ribosomal RNA", at positions 1 to 664 of the family's 3401-position model. Lineage: Eukaryota; Fungi. The record is from RNAcentral.